Molecule: long non-coding RNA, 1081 nt
Organism: Panicum virgatum (switchgrass)
Lineage: Eukaryota; Viridiplantae; Streptophyta; Magnoliopsida; Poales; Poaceae
Exons: 4
Source: RefSeq, a predicted model, not a curated record
GUGGGGCGUUAGGGUUGUGACGCCGCUCGACCCCAAUCGACCUUGGGGUCGACCCAGCGCCAGCGCCGCCGCUCUCCUUCCAAAUCGCGACAGCGCCGCCACCCCCUCCAUCCUCCCGGCGCGACCCACCUCGGCCGGGCCCAAGCCGCGUGCGAUGAGCCCCGUUCCCCCGCCUCGGCCGGUCGCCCCCGCUUGUCGCCGAGCACGUGAAGCGGAGGCAGAGAGCCGAGAGCGAGGCGUCCGGCUCCGACGCCGUCAGGCGGGUGGGACAACACGGCGUCUCCUCGUGCUCCACCCGCUCGUCGUCUGCGCCGUGACCGGCCUCCUCCUGCGGGCGCUCGCGACCGCCCUCCUCGCUGCGCUCGGUUCCGAGGGGCGCUCGUGCAGAUGGAUUUGCUUUGAGUGCUGAAUCAACUGUCACGCGCCUCUUGCUGCUAGCUGCUUGGUCUCGGAUCUCAAGAGCUACCUCCGUGAUGGAGUUGUCGCCCCUGCCGCCUCUCGGUCUCGGAUCCCAUCGUCAGCAAGAGCGAAGCUUUCCUGCAGCAGUCUUGAUGGCCACCGGACCUCCGUCGCCAUUGGUAUUGCCUUCGGACCAAGCAGCCCCGAGUCCAUCACCUCGCCGCCACAAGGAGAAUUCUGAAAGCUUGGAUCCCACCCCUCUCCCAUCGCAUGGUGAUCCAUGGCAUAGAUGGAGUGGGGAAUACGAAGCUCAUUUGUGGGACAGUUCUUGCAGAGUAGAAGGGUGUACAAGAAAAGGGAAAUAAGAUGUGGAUAUCAAAGGAGGAGCACGAUAAGUCUUGCCCAGCAAUCGUCCACAGGAAGGAAGUGCUUCUGAGUUGCGCUGCCCUUUUCGUGUAGUCUCCUAUGUGUGGGUUUUUUUCAUGGGGGAGAGAGAUUGCAAGAUUAUGCUUGUGUUCUGCAGACGGUCCUUAUUGUGGCCACUUGUAUCUGUGGUUGCCCCAGUUACCUUUGUUCUGUACUAGUACUUCGUUGCUCUGUGACUAUGAGGUCACUUUGUGGAACUUGUGGUUGGCUUGAUUGGUUGUAACUUGUGGUCCUUAUUAUAUACUAGUUGUAUAUA